GUGGGUAUAGCUCACUGGUAGAGCGUGUGCUUUGCCUGCAUGAGGUCCUAGGUUCAAUCCUUGUCCCUCCA
RNAcentral lists this transfer RNA (71 nucleotides) under Camelus bactrianus (Bactrian camel). It matches the Rfam family "tRNA". From Rfam's summary of the family: Transfer RNA (tRNA) molecules are approximately 80 nucleotides in length. Their secondary structure includes four short double-helical elements and three loops (D, anti-codon, and T loops). Lineage: Eukaryota; Metazoa; Chordata; Mammalia; Artiodactyla; Camelidae. RNAcentral also lists the same sequence under 2 other names. The record is from Rfam by way of RNAcentral.